RNAcentral lists this ribosomal RNA (497 nucleotides) under uncultured bacterium. RNAcentral describes it as "partial 16S ribosomal RNA". It matches the Rfam family "Bacterial small subunit ribosomal RNA", at positions 28 to 507 of the family's 1533-position model. The record is from RNAcentral.
GAUGAACGCUGGCGGCGUGCCUAAUACAUGCAAGUCGAGCGAACAGAUGAGGAGCUUGCUCCUCUGACGUUAGCGGCGGACGGGUGAGUAACACGUGGAUAACCUACCUAUAAGACUGGGAUAACUUCGGGAAACCGGAGCUACUACCGGAUAAUAUAUUGAACCGCAUGGUUCAAUAGUGAAAGACGGUUUUGCUGUCUCUUAUAGAUGGAUCCGCGCCGCAUUAGCUAGUUGGUAAGGUAACGGCUUACCAAGGCAACGAUGCGUAGCCGACCUGAGAGGAUGAUCAGCCACACUGGAACUGAGACACGGUCCAGACUCCUACGGGAGGCAGCAGUAGGGAAUCUUCCGCAAUGGGCGAAAGCCUGACGGAGCAACGCCGCGUGAGUGAUGAAGGUCUUCGGAUCGUAAAACUCUGUUAUUAGGGAAGAACAAAUGUGUAAGUAACUAUGCACGUCUUGACGGUACCUAAUCAGAAAGCCACGGCUAACUACGUG